RNAcentral lists this ribosomal RNA (398 nucleotides) under uncultured bacterium. RNAcentral's name for it is "bacterial SSU rRNA". It matches the Rfam family "Bacterial small subunit ribosomal RNA", at positions 30 to 424 of the family's 1533-position model. The record is from RNAcentral.
AGCGAACGUUUGCGGCGGGCUUAACACAUGCAAGUCGAACGGGCUGUUCCUUCGGGGGCAGUCAGUGGCGCACGGGUGCGUAACACGUAGGUAAUCAACCCUCUGGUUGGGGAUAACACUUCGAAAGGAGUGCUAAUACCCGGUAUGGCGCAGCGGUCUUCGGAUCGCGGCGAGAAAGACCCGCAAGGGUUGCCAGAGGACGAGCCUGCGGCCCAUCAGCUAGUUGGCGAGGUAACGGCUCACCAAGGCGAAGACGGGUAGCUGGUCUGAGAGGAUGAUCAGCCACACUGGAACUGAGACACGGUCCAGACUCCUACGGGAGGCAGCAGUGGGGAAUAUUGGCGCAACGGGCGAAAGCCUGACGCAGCCACGCCGCGUGAGCGAUGAAGGCCUCGGUC